UACUAUUUAGUAUGGUAGUUUGGGUGUAACCAUGGCAACCCUUGAGAACACGACUACUAGUGGCAGUCUAUAUGAGUACAUACUACUGAGUACUUUAGUAUGAGAGUUUAACUGUAGCCAUAGCGACCUGUGAGAAAGCGACCACUGUUAGCAGGCUCUUCUCAUACUUAAUAUAAGCUUAAUUUGGAUUAAGUGAGCAAUAUUUUCAUGUUGUACCCCGAGCUGGUAGUUUAUUAGUUAUUAAAUCUGUGUUUGUAGACUCUAUAACAAGUGUCUUAUUUCCACAGGAGCCUACAGCUUCCCUCAAUACGGUUUACUGCAUGUUUACAAUUCAUACUUAGCUGCUAGUUCUCCAGACAGGACGUUUUCAAGCAUUGAAAACAUAUCACUAGUCCAUUUUCAAGAUAAAGUAGACAUUUCUGAGACACUAUAGUCAUUCAGUUUCUCUUAAUGAAAGAGUUUCAGUGGUCAAGGCCAAGUCUAAAUGUCUUUGUUUAUGCAUUUCAGGUAGGUAAGAGUGAACAUGUUUGCAUGGGAGGCGUUUGAAGCUGGGUUUGUGGUAUUUUGUGUAGACUGGGAUAUAAUCUGUGACCCUUUAAAAAAACUUUAACAGAAUCGGCGUCCAUGAUAUCCAGUUGACAUCCAUAAUAAACCACCUGAAGACAAAAGAAAGCUGUUUUUUUUUUUAAUUUUUUUUUUUAUUAUUUAUUUAUUUUUUUUUUAAGUAGACAUUGACUAUAUGUCCUGAGGCUUGCUGGAAAGACAUGGUCUACUUGGUUUUGAUGUCCUUUUUUCCAUCCAUCCAUCUACAGUGAUUUACAUUUACAUGUAUUCAUUUAGCAGACACUUUUAUCCAAAGUGACUUACAAAUGUGGAAAUACAAGCAAAGCGAUAUAUCAAGCGGAGAACAAUACAAGUAGUGCUACAUUACAAGAUCUUUUAACUGAGUUCUAGAAAGCAAAGUGUGCAGAGUAGAGGUGUAAAUGGGGUUGGCAUUUUAGGGGUUAGUUAGGUGUUCACGGAAGAGGUGGGUCUUUAGCUGUUCUUUGAAGAUAAUGACAGAUUCUGCUGUCCUGAUUGAAGUUGGAAGUUCAUUCCACCACUGAAGGACAGUUAGUUUGAAGGUUCUGGAAAGGGACCUUGAGCCACAGUGAGUAGGCACUACUAAGCGUCGGUUGUUAAUCAACUGUGCAGUUGUUGAAAUGUGGUCUGUAAAGGUCAAGCUGUCAUCAAAAAUCACCCCAAGGUUCCUGGCUGUCCUGAAUGUGGUUGAGCUGAGCUGAUUGUUUUAUCCUAGGCAUGGUCAUGGAGAUUCCGGGGCUUAUCCAGGGAAUACUGGAUCAAGAUUGGACUACAUUCUGCAUAGAAACCGAGCCUAUCUCAGAUGACAGUGCACGCAUUUGGAGUAGCUAUGCCACCUACCAUUGUGUUUUUGGGUGGUAGGAGGAGACCAGAGAACCUGGAGGAAAACCACACAGACACGGCAAAACAUGCAAAUCUCUAGACACACAGUAUCCUGAGCUGCGGAUUGAACCAGGGUCCCUGGUGCUGUGAGGUGACAAUGCUAUCCACUGCACCAAUGUACGACCCUUCCUUUAUUCAACUGAUGAAAACUACACACUGUUCAUGCUGUACAUGUUACCAGAUCCAGUUUUCUGAGUGAGUUUCUGAACGGAAAAACCCCUUUGUUGGGUCUACAUUUAAUUAUCACACUGUAUUGAGUGAGUCUAGGGAAAUUGGACAAGUAUAGUAGUAUGCAGUAACACAGUCAAUGUCCCAACCCCCCAGGUAGAGAGUAGUACUUCAUACAUGAAUAAAACGUGCUCGAACACAGUAGUUUGAAUUUUGAUCAAAUCUUGCAUAGGCUUUUGAUUUGGUCAUGGCUGUGAUGAUGAUGGUAGUUACAAUGAUAAAAAAAAAAAAAAAACAGUAGUGACAUACAUUUACAGCAUCAUACUUCAAAAAUAUAAUAUCCUAUCCUUGGUAGAAAAAAUUGCACAAUUUAGUGAAUCAGUUGGAGGCGAUACUUAAGUACUUGCCAAACACAGAUUGCUCCUUGCCAACUGUUGCCAUGGUAGACAUGACAGCAACACACCAUUACUGAAACGGAGCACUUUUACCUGUCGGAAUAAAUGCACAUUGAAUAUUUUAAUUAAAAGAUUCCACUUGAAAGCUUAUGAGACUCAUCCUUAUCUUCAAGUGAAAGAAGCACCUCAAGCAACAGCUGCAUGCGUCCUGAAAACGUGACGCAUCUAGAACAGGCCGUCCAACCGAAAACAGCAACACCACAUCUCUCCCUGUGGAAUCGAUUGAAGAGAAACCUGAGGAAAUAUACACUUUAGAGGAAAGCAGAGGAAAGAGCUACAGUAGCGUAUUGAGAUCCACACCCAGAAAAAUGAGCAACACUUGGAUUAUUAAAGAAAAGCUGGAGCAGAUCAAGGCAGAAAUGCAGAGACUUUCAGAACGGCAUGCUCUCACUCGCCCUGAACGGAAAGCGUAUCAUCCUUUUGUGUGGAACAGCCUGAGUCCUUACAGAGACACCACAGAGAUUGACUAUCUGAUCGUCAUGGCCUCUGUCCAUCGUACCCGGAAUCGAAGAGCUUCAGUAAGAACUGUCCAUCUGUCACACUGACACAUCCUGUCCAGUCAUUUGAUGAAUAUUGGACAUUUAUGAUUUUCACACUGACAAACAUAAUGAGGAAAGUAAUGUAUUUAUAAUUUUACACAGCUAAUGAACAAUUAAUGUGCUAAAGCCUACACAAAACUCCUCUUUAUUCGAUUUAAUGACAUUACUGUUUGGGCAUACAUUAUGACUGGCCUUUCAGUAUUUGCCUGGCAAUAUAUUCUUCUUUUCUAGUCUUUUACAAGCUUUUAAUGUUUUACAAGCUCCAGCACUGAUCACACAGAGUACGUCACAGAGACUCACUGAACAUCCCACUGGCAAAUAAGAUUAAACAGAAUGACUGUGAUAUAAUUUAUUGUGUCCUUCAUGUAAGUCCCAAUCAUUUUUAAAAUUCAAGCAUGUUGGAUCAUGCUGCUUGAAGACAGAGUUCAUAAAACGCCUAAAGAGCAUCUUUUAGAUAUGCAUAUGUGCCAUUGUGUGUGAAACCGCUUUGAAAUUCUUAGAUGUUCAACGCAGAAACUGAUGAAAGAGAAAGAUGUGUGCAUCCACAUGGUUGGGAGAGAAGUAUUAAAAGAAUGCUGCAGCCGGUAUGAAAGGGUUUAAGAUUAUCAAAGAGAUUUAGGAGAAUAAAUUGGCAGGCAGUUCACUGGCGUGAGGGAUUAUGGCGCAAGAAAAGUGUAAAUGUUUAAUGGCUCGCACUCUCUCUCUCACUAUUUUUUAUUUUUAUUUUUUUACAUUUAUUUAUUCUUGGAAGGCACUCAUGUGUCUGGCUUUAGUUCCUGAUAAGCCCAAAGCAGAAAGUAGGUUGCAGCCUUUUUUUCCUCAUUCCAAACACUAUCACUUUCUGGAGACAUUUGGAUGGGGGAAGUAAGAGAUUUAAAGCACAAGGCUUAUUAAAGUUAAGCUACUACGUUUUCCAGUGGACUUGAGUGCAAUUCUUAAACCCGUGAUAUAAAAUGGUGUCUGUUUUUCUCUCCGUCCACUUACCCAAGCACAAAAACAAGGUUUUUUGGGGCUGUGUAAAGAAAAAUAUGAGAUUUGCAUUUAUCUGGUAAAAAGCAUAAAAUAGGCAAAAGAGCCACUUGAUGCAAGAGUUCUCUCUUUUUUUCCCCUAAGUGAUUUACUUCCCCCAACCCCCCCCCCCUUUGCAGUCAUCUCUUGUUUUGCCUUGAACACCAUUUUCAUGAAGCUUUGAAAAGAAGCCCCCCCUCCCUUUUUUUUUUUGUUGCCAAAGCGCAAUGCAAUUCACCCCAGCUUAUCACUAUUCCUGCAGUCCAAGGUUAUGAUAUUUACUAUUUGCAUUAAAUCCACCAAAGACUGCUUUAAAUUUAAAUACAGACUACUGACUUGACUUUGCCUCACAUGUUAUAUAAAAUACUGUGCUCAAAUAAUAUGAAAUUAACUCAAAUGAAAUAGCAUUUGCUUAUCAUUAAAAGAGUUUAAACGUGAUUCUAACCCGAAGUCGGUGUUGUUUUGUGAUGGCAAUCAGAAUAACGUGGGUCUAAUGUAGGUGUUUUGCAUAAUGUGUUCAGUAUGACUUUCAUUUAAGGUUCAACGAUAAACUAUUUAAAAGCAAGUUGUACCUACAGUACUUUACUAUAAUUAAGGAACCAUUAAUCUAUGAAGUUGGAUCUCAGUGGAGCAGGUAGCAUUAGCACCUCACAACUUUGGGUUUCCUCACUCUUACCAAAAACAUGGCAGUAUGUGGAUUGGGCAAGAUAAACUCCUAUUUCUGAAUGUGUGUGUGUGUGUGUGUGUGUGUACAUAUCUGUACAUACAUGUAUGGUGCUCUGUCAUGCACUGGCAUCCCAUCCAGGGUUUGUUCCAGGGAUAAGCACCAGAUCCACCGCAAUCCUGACGAGGAUUGAGUGACUUUACUGAAAGUGAGUGAGUAUUGCAUAAAAGAUUAUUCAUAUAACAUUUAACAACAUUUUUAUAUAAUGUAUUAAUAUUUAGUGACUAGGUUAACACAUUACCUCAACUUUUAUUUUUAAU
Molecule: long non-coding RNA, 4618 nt
Organism: Ictalurus furcatus (blue catfish)
Lineage: Eukaryota; Metazoa; Chordata; Actinopteri; Siluriformes; Ictaluridae
Exons: 5
Source: RefSeq, a predicted model, not a curated record